GGUCACACUGGUCAAUAGCCACUGGUACACUUGGGAAGGACUAACAUCAGCGUGGCUCACUGUGGGAUGGUCUGUUUAAAUUAAACUGCUAAACUGCAAUCUGUCUCUGACAAAGAAUGGAAUCUGAAUAUGGCCACAUUCAAGGAUCAGCACCAAGGUGACAAUGAUGAUGACAACCACAACGAUGACAGCCACAAUGGCUCCAGAACCUGCAGAAGAGAGUGAACUCAAAGUGGGGAAGACUUGGCAAACACAGACGAGUCCCCAGAAGCCUCAGGAGUCUGCAUGGCCUCCCAGGGCUCCUAUGGCCAUGGCAGGCAGAGACAGGAGGACCCCCGAAGCCUGCAGGCCUCCUAGCCUGCUAUAGGCUGGGGUGUGGCAGGUGUUUUGUUACAUCAAUAAGAAACUGAGCAUCAUGUAUCCCAGGAUGGCCUUGUUCAGUAGCCAGUGAUGGCCUUGACAAACUCCUGAUUCUCUCCUCUGUCUCUAAAGGGCCAAGAUGUGCAGGGAUGUGCCUUAAUGCCUGCCUACCUCCUCCUACCAGCAUGGCUCUAAACGUUUGAAGAACAGAUCAGUACAACGUCCUUCCCUCUUUUUGAUAAUAUGCAAUUAAUGUGAUUUUUUUUUUUAAAGAUGAUUUUGAAAAUACAAAAAUAAAACAUGGACAAGGAUGUUCAUGGGUCAUCUA
Long non-coding RNA from Mastomys coucha (southern multimammate mouse), 688 nucleotides. RefSeq lists it as uncharacterized. The transcript has 3 exons. NCBI's taxonomy places the organism in Eukaryota, Metazoa, Chordata, Mammalia, Rodentia, Muridae. The record is from RefSeq and is a predicted model, not a curated record.